Molecule: long non-coding RNA, 126 nt
Organism: Sapajus apella (tufted capuchin)
Lineage: Eukaryota; Metazoa; Chordata; Mammalia; Primates; Cebidae
Exons: 3
Source: RefSeq, a predicted model, not a curated record
GUCUAUGACCUGGAAGACUCCUCCCCGCUUCGAGUUAUCCUGCUUUUCCGACUGAACCAGUGUUCAUCUUACAUAUAUGGAUUGAUGUCUCAUGUUGCCCUAAAAUCUCUAAAACCAAACCUGCCA